GCCCUGCCCCACCUCUGUCUGUCUGUCGGUCUGCCAGUCCUACCCCAUAUCACCUGUUGCUUUUCCUGGCAGAGCUGCCGGGAUUCGGCCCGUGUCCACAGCCGCUCCCCGUGGUCAGCCCCAGCCCCACGGCCGCUCGCUGCGAGCUGGACAAGAACACCCGCCGGUGCCACCGGCAGCAGCUGCCCGCCCACAAGUCCUGCCGCAUGUACCAGACCUGUGACCACGCCGUGCUCCUCUCAGGCGGCUGGCAGGACCAGAUCACCUACCCCCACCACGCCCGCAACCUGCGGCUCUUCGCCCAGAUGCUGCGACGGAACGGCUUCCGGCAGGAGCACAUCAAGGCCUUCUUCGCCGGCGAUGGCCAGGCGCCAGUGGCCGCGGAGGUGGGCGACGUGUAUCCAGCCACGGAGAAGCUGGUGAUCCGCAGCCACCUGGCGCUGGUGUGCCGCACGCGGCACUGCGCCGACUCGCUGGUGCUUUACCUGAACAGCCCCACCCGGAGCGACGGCACCAUGCUCCUGUGGGACACCAACAAGAACGGCAUCGUGAGUGGGGCGCUGUGCGGGCACCCCUCAGCGGGUUCCCGGCCCCCACUGCCAGGCUGUGCCCUCGCCCGGCUCCCUGGGGCAGUGGGGCUCUCUGCAGCCAGGGGAUGUGGGGUGACUCCGUGGCUCUGGGCGUCUCCCACGGCAGCUGGCUGCCCUCCGCGGCGGGGCUGAGAGAACCAGGUACCCCCCCAUUGAUCUCCAGGUGGAGGUGAGCUCGCUGCCCUCCCCCCUUGCCUCUGAUCUGCUGCACUUCAAAGGCCCCGGCUUGGCGCUUUCAUCUGCGCUGGGUGGGUGGGAAACCCCCCUUUCAAGUGCUGGGCUGCUGGAAUUCCCUUGAUCUCCUGCCUGGAGUCUCCGUGCAGCUGGUCUUUGGGAGGGGGGGCCCUCCCCUCUGUGCUGUGGGCAGGCAGGGGAAGGGCACUGACGGGCACACUCUGCCCCCCCGCAGGCCGACCCCAAGGAGCGCUACCCUGUGGCCGAGCUCCUGGCCGACUUGGAGGGCUGCAGCGCCCGCAGGGUCUUCCUCUUCCUCGACCAGAGCUACCCGGGCCCGCUGGCCAAGAAGCUGCUGGCAUCCGGGCGGCACGGGAACGUGGUGCUGGUGAGCGGCCAGCGGGGCUCUGA
RNAcentral lists this long non-coding RNA (1175 nucleotides) under Chrysemys picta bellii (western painted turtle). Its description in RNAcentral is "lncRNA (ENSCPBG00000013163.1)". The record is from RNAcentral. Lineage: Eukaryota; Metazoa; Chordata; Testudines; Emydidae.